GCCUGUUAGCCAGUAGAGACUAGAGUGUAGCAGGUUAGCCAGAUAGCCAGUAGAGACUAGAAUGUAGCAGGUUAGCCAGAUAGCCAGUAGAGACUAGAAUGUAGCAGGUUAGCCAGAUAGCCAGUAGAGACUAGAAUGUAGCAGGUUAGCCAGAUAGCCAGUAGAGACUAGAGUGUAGCAGGUUAGCCAGAUAGCCAGUAGAGACUAGAAUGUAGCCUGUUAGCCAGAUAGCCAGUAGAGACUAGAGUGUAGCAGGAUAGCCAGUGAUAGCCAGUGUAGAGAAAACAUAAGACCUUCCAUAUCAAACACAUAUCAAACACACAUCACAACACAGUGAUAACCAACCAAUAAUACCUCAUGCAAUAAUAAUGGCAGAGCAAUUCAACUGCAACUUCAUAGAAACAAUUGACAAGAAAGAACCCAGUUAUCAACAUCAGC
This is a long non-coding RNA of Oncorhynchus tshawytscha (Chinook salmon), 438 nucleotides long. Lineage: Eukaryota; Metazoa; Chordata; Actinopteri; Salmoniformes; Salmonidae. The record is from Ensembl.